Molecule: unclassified non-coding RNA, 337 nt
Filed under: soil metagenome
Description: partial contains 5.8S ribosomal RNA, internal transcribed spacer 2, and large subunit ribosomal RNA
Rfam family: 5.8S ribosomal RNA (bases 1-120)
Source: RNAcentral
GAUGAAGAACGUAGCGAAAUGCGAUAAGUAAUGUGAAUUGCAGAAUUCAGUGAAUCAUCGAAUCUUUGAACGCACAUUGCGCCCGCCAGUAUUCUGGCGGGCAUGCCUGUUCGAGCGUCAUUUCAACCAUCAAGCCCCCAGGCUUGUGUUGGGGACCUGCGGCUGCCGCAGGCCCUGAAAAGCAGUGGCGGGCUCGCUGUCACACCGAGCGUAGUAGAUUUUAUCUCGCUCUGGGCGUGCUGCGGGUUCCGGCCGUUAAACCACCCUUUUAACCCAAGGUUGACCUCGGAUCAGGUAGGAAGACCCGCUGAACUUAAGCAUAUCAAUAAGCGGAGGA